AAGAUCCUGAGGUGAUCGUUAAGGUUUAAUAAUUUAACCUACAUUUAGUUCACGGGAUAUCGGGGUUUUCGUAGCCUAUGUCAAGCCUCCUAAGAGUGGACGACAGAAGCAGAAACAGAUAACCCACCUAUCGAUAGGAUAGGUUGUGAAUUAUAAACCUGACGACACAUUCGGGAUUUUU
Molecule: non-coding RNA, 181 nt
Filed under: Clostridiales bacterium
Lineage: Bacteria; Bacillati; Bacillota; Clostridia; Eubacteriales
Description: 6S RNA
Rfam family: 6S / SsrS RNA
About the family: E. coli 6S RNA was the first non coding RNA to be sequenced, but its function was unknown until recently.
Source: RNAcentral